Molecule: ribosomal RNA, 564 nt
Filed under: Bacillus subtilis
Lineage: Bacteria; Bacillati; Bacillota; Bacilli; Caryophanales; Bacillaceae
Description: bacterial SSU rRNA
Rfam family: Bacterial small subunit ribosomal RNA
Source: RNAcentral
ACGUUGUAGCGGUGAAAUGCGUAGAGAUUGUGGAGGAACACCAGUGGCGAAGGCGACUCUCUGGUCUGUAACUGACGCUGAGGAGCGAAAGCGUGGGGAGCGAACAGGAUUAGAUACCCUGGUAGUCCACGCCGUAAACGAUGAGUGCUAAGUGUUAGGGGGUUUCCGCCCCUUAGUGCUGCAGCUAACGCAUUAAGCACUCCGCCUGGGGAGUACGGUCGCAAGACUGAAACUCAAAGGAAUUGACGGGGGCCCGCACAAGCGGUGGAGCAUGUGGUUUAAUUCGAAGCAACGCGAAGAACCUUACCAGGUCUUGACAUCCUCUGACGAUCCUAGAGAUAGGACGUCCCCUUCGGGGGCAGAGUGACAGGUGGUGCAUGGUUGUCGUCAGCUCGUGUCGUGAGAUGUUGGGUUAAGUCCCGNCACGAGCGCAACCCUUGAUCUUAGUUGCCAGCAUUCAGUUGGGCACUCUAAGGUGACUGCCGGUGACAAACCGGAAGAAGGUGGGGAUGACGUCAAAUCAUCAUGCCCCUUAUGACCUGGGCUACACACGUGCUACAAUGG